GAUGAACGCUGGCGGCGUGCCUAAUACAUGCAAGUCUAGCGAACAGAUGAGGAGCUUGCUCCUCUGACGUUAGCGGCGGACGGGUGAGUAACACGUGGAUAACCUACCUAUAAGACUGGGAUAACUUCGGGAAAUCGGAGCUAAUACCGGAUAAUAUAUUGAACCGCAUGGUUCAAUAGUGAAAGACGGUUUUGCUGUCACUUAUAGAUGGAUCCGCGCCGCAUUAGCUAGUUGGUAAGGUAACGGCUUACCAAGGCAACGAUGCGUAGCCGACCUGAGAGGGUGAUCGGCCACACUGGAACUGAGACACGGUCCAGACUCCUACGGGAGGCAGCAGUAGGGAAUCUUCCGCAAUGGGCGAAAGCCUGACGGAGCAACGCCGCGUGAGUGAUGAAGGUCUUCGGAUCGUAAAACUCUGUUAUUAGGGAAGAACAAAUGUGUAAGUAACUAUGCACGUCUUGACGGUACCUAAUCAGAAAGCCACGGCUAACUACGUG
Molecule: ribosomal RNA, 497 nt
Filed under: uncultured bacterium
Lineage: Bacteria
Description: partial 16S ribosomal RNA
Rfam family: Bacterial small subunit ribosomal RNA
Source: RNAcentral